GGCGGUUUGGCCGAGUGGUUAAGGCGAUUGAGUAUGUGCUCUCUAAUAUCAAGUCAACCCAAACGUCUGCUAACACUUCCUUCUAGCUCGAAAUCAAUUCCGUUCGCGGGCGCAUGUUCGAAUCAUGCAGCCGUCG
Molecule: transfer RNA, 136 nt
Filed under: Penicillium rubens
Lineage: Eukaryota; Fungi; Ascomycota; Eurotiomycetes; Eurotiales; Aspergillaceae
Description: tRNA-His
Rfam family: tRNA
About the family: Transfer RNA (tRNA) molecules are approximately 80 nucleotides in length.
Source: RNAcentral